Drosophila persimilis is the source of this 1554-nucleotide long non-coding RNA. RefSeq lists it as uncharacterized. The transcript is spliced from 2 exons. The record is from RefSeq and is a predicted model, not a curated record. NCBI's taxonomy places the organism in Eukaryota, Metazoa, Arthropoda, Insecta, Diptera, Drosophilidae.
UUUACUUUUCUUUUUGUUGCUAUUUUGCUUGUUGUGUGUGUAUUUUGGAUACCCCUCAAUAAAUAUGAAUAUAAUGAAUAAUAUAUUUACACAGACUAGUGGCCACUGUAUGCUAAAAUAUCCUAUAAUUUCAUAGGUUUUCCUUCCCUACGGCUCUGCAAAGGGGUAUCCUAAUCGUCGACUUUCCUUCUCGGUGGUUUUUUUUUUUUUUUUUUUUGUUGCCCUCCUAUUUCACUGUAUGGGAAAUAUUUCACACGCUGCUUUGGCUAAGGCAAGCAAAGCACUUGACUGUUGAGUGGCGCUGGCUGGGGCCUCUGCCGCUGUCGCUGCUCGCUGCUCGCUGUCGUUGGGGAAAUGUUGGGGUUCGUUGCCGUCGCAGGCGUCGUCGUCGUUGCCGUCGCUGUCGUUCGUCGGGUCGGAUCGGGUGUUGUUAUCAAUUCAGUUGCUUGCUGGCUGCAUGGCGCGACGCUUGCUUGCACGUCUGGCCGGGGUCUGGGUCUGGGUCUGGCCCGGGUCUGGUCGGAUUGACUCGUGGUCGUGCGCCACGGGGGGAGGGGAUUGUAAUCGGUUUCAGUUCGUUUUCAUUUAAAUAGAAUUAAAUAUGGCAAAUGAGCAACAAGGAAUUUGUAAUCUAUAUAAUAAAUAAAUAAUUUCAAAUGUACCCACGAGAGAGACAGAGCGAUGGGUAGAGAAAGAGAGAGAGAGAGAUCAGUGGCAGAGCUGAGCAGUUAUGGUUGGACUUGGGACGACUGUCUGUCGUAAGUAACAAAAUCUCGUCGAAAUCGAGAUUCGAUAUUCGAGGGAAAGAACAGGCGCACAGCAAUUGCCAGCAGAGCAGUCGGCAGAAACAGCAAGCAGCAGCAGCUCGGGAGAGAGUGGACAAGCAAGCGAGAGGGAGAGAGAGAACGAGCGCCAAACGAAUCAGAGAGGGUGGCAGAAUAUACAUAUGAAAGUAGGCAAAGCAAAACAACACAGCGAAGAGAGCAAGCAGAAUGAGAGAGUGGAUGGUCCACUCGGCGAGCGCGAGAGAGCACCAGCUGAAGAAAAAAAAAACGAGAAAAAAAAAUCGAUGAGUCGCCUGAUAAGCAGCAAAUCAACGGAACCACGGCACCAGACCUGGGGACACCCGAACCGAGCGAAGCGACCAGAUACGAUACGAUACGAUACGAUAGCCAGCCAAACAACCACCACCCAAUAGGGGAAAAAUAGGAAACAGAAUGCCGCGACAGCGUCUAACCGAUGCGUGUGCCGUCGUCUGCGCUUGGUGUGCGGUGCAUCCGUGUACCUGACGCGCGCGUGUAACCGCCAAUUUAACAGGGAAACAGGCGGAGCAGCAAGAGAGUCGAGUCUCGCCGCAAAGCGUCGUGUCGGCAGAGAGGAGAGCCGAGCCGACAUGUAUGUGGGCCACCGAGCGAGCGACAAAAUGAGAGAUAGAGAGGGAGGAAUUGAUUGUAGGGUUGUCAAGAGUUCUAAUAAUACAAACAAAUUAAUUUGAAUACGUUUAUAGAAUUAUCCUAAGCAGAAAAAUAAAUAUUUUGCCAUCGUCGUGGAAUA